AUGCCACAAGUCAAGUCUAGUAACAAGAACAAAAAAGAUUCUUCUUCUAGUAGUAACAAUAAUCAUGCUAAAUCCAAUGUUGUUGCUUCUAGUAGUUCUCUAGAUUCCACUAAUGAUUCUCUUAGCCAAGUUACACUUGAGCAAGAAAAUAGCUUAUUGAAGGGAAUUAUAGAGAAAGGUGUUUACAAGAGUCUUGCCGGAAGUAAGCAAUUCGAAGAAAUUGUACGCAAGCAAAGAAGGCACCUAAAGAAUCAAGGUGUUGGUUUUGAACGAAAGUUCAAUGCCAAUGAAGUUGAGUGGGAAGAAGAUCAAUACCCCAAGACGAAGUUUGUUCCUCAACAAGAGAAGUAUGAUCCUACUUCUUUCAAAGGGACACAAGCUCAAGAUGAUCUUCCACCACAAGACCACAAGCAAAAAGGCAAGGACAAGCUUCAAGAGGAUAUUGAUGCAUUUGAAGAAGCUCCUAUGGCCUUGGUCAAGUGGGUUCCAAGACUACAUCAAGUUCUACUUCAACAAGUACAACUACAACUCCAAGGAUUCCCAUCAUGA
Molecule: ribosomal RNA, 549 nt
Filed under: Triticum aestivum (bread wheat)
Lineage: Eukaryota; Viridiplantae; Streptophyta; Magnoliopsida; Poales; Poaceae
Description: partial small subunit ribosomal RNA
Source: RNAcentral